GCAGCGGUUUCCAUCCCCUUGGCCUUUUCCUCCACCUUAAACGUUAUCCCCUCUCACUAUAUAAAUACCACCCUACCUCUCUCUCCAGCACCCACACUUCCUUCCUUCGCCUUGUGUUUCUCUCUGCAGGAGCCAUGGGAGAAGCCGCGGAGGAUGUCUAUGUUGCCAAUGGCUACCACAGCCAUCAAGCCAAGGAGGGUGUAGAUGAAUGCAAAUGGUAUGAGGAGGAGAUCGACGAUGAUCUCAAGUUAUCUUAUGCUUUGAAUAGCGUGCUGCAUAGAGGGACCAGCAAGUUCCAAGACAUAGCUCUUCUUGACACCAAGCAUUUUGGAAAGGCGUUGGUGAUCGAUGGGAAGAUGCAGAGCACCGAGAUGGAUGAGUUCAUCUACCAUGAAUGCUUGAUACAUGCAGCCCUUCUCUGCCACCCCAAUCCUAAGACAGUAUUUAUAAUGGGAGGUGGAGAGGGGUCCGCUGCAAGAGAAGUGCUCAAGCACAGCACCAUCCAUAGGGUGGUUAUGUGUGACAUCGACCAGGAGGUUGUAGACUUCUGCCGGAAGUAUUUGACUGCCAAUCAGGAAGCCUUUGCUAGCGACAAGCUCUGCCUCGUCAUCAAUGAUGCGAAGGUGGAGCUGGACAAGAGAGAGGAGAAAUAUGAUGUAAUAGUGGGAGAUUUGGCUGACCCUGUUGAAGGAGGACCAUGCUAUCAGCUCUACACUAAAUCAUUCUAUGAACAAGUGCUCAAGCCCAAGCUGCAUCAUGAUGGCAUCUUUGUCACCCAAGCUGGACCAGCCGGUGUUCUUACACAUAAGGAGGUCUUUUCAUCUAUAUACAACACCCUUAAGCAUGUUUUUAGAUAUGUGCUUGCGUACACAGCUCAUGUGCCUUCCUUUGUGGAUACAUGGGGAUGGGUUAUGGCAUCUGAUCAACCAUUCACUCUUAAUGCUCAACAAAUUGAUGAGAGGAUCAACGAGAGAAUUACUGGAGAGCUACUGUACUUAAAUGGCAAGUUCCUCAUAUCUGCAACCACAAUGAACAAGAGUGUUUACCAAUCGAAGGCUCAUCAGCUGGUGCUAGAAAAAUAUCACCACAUUCCUAAUAAGGACAUAUAGUUUUGGAUGCUGAAGAGGUUAAGAUAUAUGAACUUUUAACUGUGGCACUUUGUUGUAAGAAUUAGUAGGUCAAUGUUCGUGAGACUGUUGAAUGAAACGCAUGUGUACACGGAGGAAAAUGCAAGAUUUAUCCAUGGACAUGGAAGGGCAUGUUGUGCUUAAGGCUCCUCAUUCAAGGGACAAAUAUAUAUGGUCAUAUGGAGCUCUAAAUCAACAAUACUUUGGGCAAAGAGGGCAAGAAUCUUAUGAAGAAGUGUGGGUGUUAGCAUUCUUUGCAUCUUUUAUAUCCAAAACAAAUAAUUGUGUUGACCAUGACUCAUCUGAUGAAAUAAAAUGUAAAUUCUAAUAAAUUGUAUGACAAUUAGUUAUCUAGCAUUUCAUAUUCUUUC
Phoenix dactylifera (date palm) is the source of this 1498-nucleotide RNA transcript. It is a transcript of the gene named S-adenosyl-L-methionine-dependent methyltransferases superfamily protein, with no coding region annotated. The record is from RefSeq and is a predicted model, not a curated record. NCBI's taxonomy places the organism in Eukaryota, Viridiplantae, Streptophyta, Magnoliopsida, Arecales, Arecaceae.